This 565-nucleotide ribosomal RNA is filed under the name Metarhizium anisopliae. RNAcentral's name for it is "eukaryotic LSU rRNA". The stretch from base 170 to 323 matches the Rfam family "5.8S ribosomal RNA". The record is from RNAcentral. Lineage: Eukaryota; Fungi; Ascomycota; Sordariomycetes; Hypocreales; Clavicipitaceae.
UCCGUAGGGUGAACCUGCGGAGGGAUCAGCUACCGACCGUUAUCCAACUCCCAACCCCUGUGAAUUAUACCUUUAAUUGUUGCUUCGGCGGGACUUCGCGCCCGCCGGGGACCCAAACCUUCUGAAUUUUUUAAUAAGUAUCUUCUGAGUGGUUAAAAAAAUGAAUCAAAACUUUCAACAACGGAUCUCUUGGUUCUGGCAUCGAUGAAGAACGCAGCGAAAUGCGAUAAGUAAUGUGAAUUGCAGAAUUCAGUGAAUCAUCGAAUCUUUGAACGCACAUUGCGCCCGUCAGUAUUCUGGCGGGCAUGCCUGUUCGAGCGUCAUUACGCCCCUCAAGUCCCCUGUGGACUUGGUGUUGGGGAUCGGCGAGGCUGGUUUUCCAGCACAGCCGUCCCUUAAAUUAAUUGGCGGUCUCGCCGUGGCCCUCCUCUGCGCAGUAGUAAAACACUCGCAACAGGAGCCCGGCGCGGUCCACUGCCGUAAAACCCCCCAACUUUUUAUAGUUGACCUCGAAUCAGGUAGGACGUACCUCGCUGAUACUUAAGCAUAUCAAUAAGCGGAGGAA